AGACCCGAAACCCGGUGAUCUAGCCAUGGGCAGGUUGAAGGUUGGGUAACACUAACUGGAGGACCGAACCGACUAAUGUUGAAAAAUUAGCGGAUGACCUGUGGCUGGGGGUGAAAGGCCAAUCAAACCGGGAGAUAGCUGGUUCUCCCCGAAAGCUAUUUAGGUAGCGCCUCGUGAAUUCAUCUCCGGGGGUAGAGCACUGUUUCGGCUAGGGGGCCAUCCCGGCUUACCAACCCGAUGCAAACUGCGAAUACCGGAGAAUGUUAUCACGGGAGACACACGGCGGGUGCUAACGUCCGUCGUGAAGAGGGAAACAACCCAGACCGCCAGCUAAGGUCCCAAAGUCAUGGUUAAGUGGGAAACGAUGUGGGAAGGCCCAGACAGCCAGGAUGUUGGCUUAGAAGCAGCCAUCAUUUAAAGAAAGCGUAAUAGCUCACUGGUCGAGUCGGCCUGCGCGGAAGAUGUAACGGGGCUAAACCAUGCACCGAAGCUGCGGCAGCGACGCUUAUGCGUUGUUGGGUAGGGGAGCGUUCUGUAAGCCUGUGAAGGUGGCCUGUGAGGGUUGCUGGAGGUAUCAGAAGUGCGAAUGCUGACAUAAGUAACGAUAAAGCGGGUGAAAAGCCCGCUCGCCGGAAGACCAAGGGUUCCUGUCCAACGUUAAUCGGGGCAGGGUGAGUCGACCCCUAAGGCGAGGCCGAAAGGCGUAGUCGAUGGGAAACGGGUUAAUAUUCCCGUACUUGGUGUUACUGCGAAGGGGGGACGGAGAAGGCUAUGUUGGCCGGGCGACGGUUGUCCCGGUUUAAGCGUGUAGGUGUGUGUUCCAGGUAAAUCCGGUUCACUUUAACACUGAGGCGUGAUGACGAGGCACUACGGUGCUGAAGCAACAAAUGCCCUGCUUCCAGGAAAAGCCUCUAAGCAUCAGGUAACAUCAAAUCGUACCCCAAACCGACACAGGUGGUCAGGUAGAGAAUACCAAGGCGCUUGAGAGAACUCGGGUGAAGGAACUAGGCAAAAUGGUGCCGUAACUUCGGGAGAAGGCACGCUGACAUGUAGGUGAAGUGAUUUACUCAUGGAGCUGAAGUCAGUCGAAGAUACCAGCUGGCUGCAACUGUUUAUUAAAAACACAGCACUGUGCAAACACGAAAGUGGACGUAUACGGUGUGACGCCUGCCCGGUGCCGGAAGGUUAAUUGAUGGGGUCAGCGCAAGCGAAGCUCCUGAUCGAAGCCCCGGUAAACGGCGGCCGUAACUAUAACGGUCCUAAGGUAGCGAAAUUCCUUGUCGGGUAAGUUCCGACCUGCACGAAUGGCGUAAUGAUGGCCAGGCUGUCUCCACCCGAGACUCAGUGAAAUUGAACUCGCUGUGAAGAUGCAGUGUACCCGCGGCAAGACGGAAAGACCCCGUGAACCUUUACUAUAGCUUGACACUGAACAUUGAGCCUUGAUGUGUAGGAUAGGUGGGAGGCUUUGAAGUGUGGACGCCAGUCUGCAUGGAGCCGACCUUGAAAUACCACCCUUUAAUGUUUGAUGUUCUAACGUGGACCCGUGAUCCGGGUUGCGGACAGUGUCUGGUGGGUAGUUUGACUGGGGCGGUCUCCUCCUAAAGAGUAACGGAGGAGCACGAAGGUUGGCUAAUCCUGGUCGGACAUCAGGAGGUUAGUGCAAUGGCAUAAGCCAGCUUGACUGCGAGCGUGACGGCGCGAGCAGGUGCGAAAGCAGGUCAUAGUGAUCCGGUGGUUCUGAAUGGAAGGGCCAUCGCUCAACGGAUAAAAGGUACUCCGGGGAUAACAGGCUGAUACCGCCCAAGAGUUCAUAUCGACGGCGGUGUUUGGCACCUCGAUGUCGGCUCAUCACAUCCUGGGGCUGAAGUAGGUCCCAAGGGUAUGGCUGUUCGCCAUUUAAAGUGGUACGCGAGCUGGGUUUAGAACGUCGUGAGACAGUUCGGUCCCUAUCUGCCGUGGGCGCUGGAGAACUGAGGGGGGCUGCUCCUAGUACGAGAGGACCGGAGUGGACGCAUCACUGGUGUUCGGGUUGUCAUGCCAAUGGCACUGCCCGGUAGCUAAAUGCGGAAGAGAUAAGUGCUGAAAGCAUCUAAGCACGAAACUUGCCCCGAGAUGAGUUCUCCCUGAGACUUAG
Molecule: ribosomal RNA, 2134 nt
Filed under: Salmonella enterica subsp. enterica serovar Weltevreden
Lineage: Bacteria; Pseudomonadati; Pseudomonadota; Gammaproteobacteria; Enterobacterales; Enterobacteriaceae
Description: partial 23S ribosomal RNA
Rfam family: Bacterial large subunit ribosomal RNA
Source: RNAcentral